AUGGCGGCGGCGGCAGGAGUCUCCGGGGAGUCGUCGGGGACGAAGACGAAGAAGCUUAAGAUUGCUGUCAUCCACCCCGACCUUGGAAUCGGUGGUGCUGAGAGAUUGAUAGUUGAUGCGGCAUGUCAGCUUGCUGCCCAUGGGCACGAUGUUCACGUUUUCACAUCACACCAUGACAGAAAUCGGUGCUUUGAGGAAACAGUCUCUGGUACAUUCCCAGUUACAGUAUAUGGAGAUUUCCUGCCUCGUCAUGUGUUUUACCGCUUUCAUGCUGUCUGUGCUUAUCUUCGCUGCAUUUUUGUUGCACUCUGCGUGCUACUUUGGUGGCCCUCCUUUGAUAUCAUAUUGGUAGACCAGGUUUCUGUUGUGAUUCCACUUCUUAAACUAAAGGCAUCAUCAAAGACAAUUUUUUAUUGCCAUUUUCCUGAUCUGUUGCUUGCACAACAUACAACAAUUCUUCGGAGGUUAUAUCGCAAGCCAAUUGACAUGAUUGAGGAAGCCACGACUGGUAUGGCAGAUUUGAUUCUAGUCAACAGUAAGUUCACCGCGGCAACUUUUGCCAGGACCUUUUGUGGUCUUCAUGCUAGAGGAGUCGAGCCUGGUGUCCUAUACCCAGCGGUCUCAGUUGAGCAGUUUCAUGAACCUCAUGAUUAUAAGUUGAAUUUCCUCUCAAUUAACCGGUUUGAGAGAAAAAAGAAUCUUGGUCUAGCCAUUUCAGCAUUUGCUUUGCUCCGGUCAGUUGUUUCUAAGCAACCUGGUGAUGCUCUGUGGGAAGCAAGCUUAACAGUGGCAGGUGGGUACGAUAAGCGCCUCAAAGAAAACGUUGAAUACCUUGAGGAGCUCAAAAGAUUGGCAGCGACUGAGGGUGUUUCUGAACAUGUUAAAUUCGUGACAUCUUGUUCUUCAUCUGAAAGAAACGAGCUUCUCUCCAACUGCCUUUGUGUGUUGUACACUCCAAAGGACGAGCAUUUUGGCAUUGUUCCUCUUGAAGCCAUGGCAGCAUACAAGCCUGUAAUCGCAUGCAACAGCGGUGGUCCAGUGGAAACAGUAGUGAACGAGGCGACAGGGUUUCUGUGCGAUCCCUCCCCCAUCGAAUUCUCAAAAGCCAUGCUGAAGUUUGUGAGCGAUCACGAUCUAGCGGUCCGGAUGGGCAAACAAGCACGCGACCGCGUGGUGCAGGAAUUCUCGACCAAGACGUUCGGCGACCUCCUGAACAGCUAUGUCCUCAAUGUCUACCACCAGAGGAUGGAGUGA
This 1254-nucleotide ribosomal RNA is filed under the name Triticum aestivum (bread wheat). RNAcentral describes it as "partial small subunit ribosomal RNA". The record is from RNAcentral. Lineage: Eukaryota; Viridiplantae; Streptophyta; Magnoliopsida; Poales; Poaceae.